ACCUGCUCACAGGACAGCCAAGACCAGUCAGCCCACUCAAGAUGUUAAAACAGUCUAUUUCACAAGUCCAGGAACUUUUGUACAGGCUAUCCAUUUCCUAAGAUUUGUUAUUUUUUCCUGUGCCUUAAAAUCAGACACACUUAGGGGAGGAGGUCAUCUUUGUGGCUAUUGAGACAGCUCCAAUGUAUAGAGACACUGCUUGGUGACAACCCUCUCCUUGUCUAUCUAAUUCCCUUCUUUAUGUGGUCUCCUAUCCGCGUGUUAUCUGUCGGCUACUACUAGGGCUGGCUGGAGGGAAACGCGUCUUUGAAAGGAACACUCGGUCCCCUCACUGGCAGGAAUACGAGGAUUUCUUUAAGGACUCGGAUAACUAGAAAGGGGUUCCACUCCCCCAGAAGAAUUUCAGAGUCUGAAUCAUAGAGACCUCCCCCGCUGCCCUCCGCCCAACUUAAGCGGGAGAUGCAAACGGACGAGGUGUCUGUCCUUGGCCCCCACCGGUGACCUGCCAGCAGCGCCCCUCGCCUCGGGUCACUCCCGCUCCCGGACUCACCUGGUGCCGAGGACCAGCGCCGGCAAGAGAGGCAGCAAGUAGUGCGCUGGGCUGAAUUUCAUGCUUGUCACCUGCCGGGGUCCUCCUUUCCUCGCUGCCUCCGCUUCCCCGCUUCCUCCUCCAGGUCCCGUCGCUCCUCCUCGGUGCCCGGCUCUGUCCCCGGCCGGCAGUGAGCCCUCUCCAGCAGCGGACGGAAGGAAACCGACAAACGGACGGCCGCCUCGCGAAGGCAGGCGCUGAGAGCGGGGAGUAUCUUCGGGAGUGAUGUCACCAGCGAGGCGAGCCCUGCCCCGGAUUGUUCGGCGCCGCCGCUCCUGAGCCCGGAGGGCGCGCUGUCACUCGCGCCGCAGGCGGCGCGGGGAGCGGGAGGGGUGCCGGCGAUGGCCCCGCACGCUCAGGCAACGGGCUGCGCUCACCCGGCUGCACGUCCCGGACCCCGGGAGCUGGUCUUUUAUUCCCGCUUCUCCAGAGAAUGGGGAGGUGCCGGGCGGGGGCCAGGGGAGAAACCUAGUUUGCCAGUAACUGAACCUGCAUCCGCGGGAGGAGGUGAGCCAGAAUGCACUGGGGAAGACUCUCAGAGGCUCAGAGUCACAGAUGUUCGUGGUAUUCCCUGGUGUCUCAGUGGUAAGGAAUCUGACUGUGAACCAGGAGACGCAGGAGAAGUGGGUUUGAUCCCUGGGUUGGGAAGAUCCCUUGAAGAAGGAAAUGGCAACCCACUCCAGUAUUCCUGCCUAUGGAAUCCCAUGGAUAGAGGAGCCUGGCAGCCUAUAGUCCACGGGGUCACAAAGAGUCAGACACGACUGAGCACGCGUGCAUGUAAAGAUGUUCACACAGUGUUACCCCCAUUCUCUGUGGUUAAAACUGUCUGCUUCUCCCUUUAUAAAAAUGCACUACUUUGGCUUUAUUUGAAUGCAGUCUCUUUAAAAAUCUAUGGCAUUAGAAUAAUACUGAAGAAAUUAUCGACACAUGAUAUUUUAUCUGCCUGUUUCUAAAAAGUUAUACAUUUUCCUUAGUUGUUCUUGCUUCUUUUCUUCAAACCCCAAAAUUAAACCAUACAUUUUGCUAGUGAUUGUGGUGUGUAUCCCAAAGAGUCACACCAAGAAUAAUAAUCAUUCUCAGUCAUAUUGGCAAAAUCUUGCAUUUUACUAAAUCAGAUACCGAACAUGCCUCUGUACAUGAUACUGAAAUCAAAGUUGAAAAUGUCAUGUUAAAACCGAACUGAAAGUGAUCUUAUAUAAAGACAAUGACCACCAAAUAUUUGUUGCUCUACUACCUUCUUUGAGUAGGAAGUAAGUAAAUGUGUAUAUGAUAUUAGUAUGAUUAUAUGAUAUUAGACUUAUUAGUAUAUAAGUCUACAGUAAGUCACUUACAUAUGAACAAGUGUCAUUCAGAGAGCACAUUUGUUAAGUCUAAUUUGUUCUUAAGUCCAACAGAGUUAGUCUAGACACCCGAGUAAUA
RNAcentral lists this long non-coding RNA (2008 nucleotides) under Capra hircus (goat). RNAcentral describes it as "lncRNA (ENSCHIG00000002263.1)". The record is from RNAcentral. Lineage: Eukaryota; Metazoa; Chordata; Mammalia; Artiodactyla; Bovidae.